Molecule: non-coding RNA, 535 nt
Organism: Chrysemys picta bellii (western painted turtle)
Lineage: Eukaryota; Metazoa; Chordata; Testudines; Emydidae
Source: RefSeq, a predicted model, not a curated record
CUCCCCCUGGCUGCAGGAAGGCUGGAGCAGGUGUGAGGAGCUGUGGGUGCAACAGCUCCCCCUACAGGCCCGGGAGCAGCGCGGCACUGCCCAGCUGGCCUCCCUCCUCCAGGAGAUGCACCGGCUGCUGGCGGACGGCUCGGAGCGCGCCAUCCUUGCCAGGGCGAAAAGCAGCAGCACGUCUGGGCGCUGAUCAAAGGCACCUCCUACAUCAAAUCCCAGCUCCGCAAGGACCAGGCCGAGGUCCAGGCCUUCGUGCAGAGGAAGCUGCUGGGCCCGGAGCAGGACGUGACGCUGGAGUCGCAGCGGCUGCACGGGGGGGGUGGAGCGCGAGGUCCGGCAGCUGGGGGCCAUCGCCCUCCCCUGCCUUCUGCGCCGCAGCCUCCUGGGGUCCCAGCAGGUCCCGGCCCACGAGCUCUCCAUCCAUAGGCUGGGCCGGACGGCGCUCGCCCAGCACCGGGCCUUCCUCACUGUGUGCCAGGCUUCCGGCUUCCCUCUCUACAAGGUGAGACGCACACUUGGUGGAGCAAUGGGG